AAACAAACAGCCUUGUAUCAUCCACCCUGUUGACCUAAACCUGGUACCAGAACUGGUCCUGUUGACCUAAACCUGGUACCAGAACUGGUCCUGUUGACCUAAACCUGGUACCAGAACUGGUCCUGUUGACCUAAACCUGGUACCAGAACUGGUCCUGUUGACCUAAACCUUGUUCCAGAACUGGUCCUGUUGACCUAAACCUUGUUCCAGAACUGGUCCUGUUGACCUAAACCUGGUACCAGAACUGGUCCUGUUGACCUAAACCUUGUUCCAGAUCUGGUCCUGUUGACCUAAACCUGGUACCAGAACUGGUCCUGUUGACCUAAACCCUGUUCCAGAACUGGUCCUGUUGACCUAAACCUGGUACCAGAACUGGUCCUGUUGACCUAAACCUGGUACCAGAACUGGUCCUGUUGACAUAAACCUGGUACCAGACCAACAGGAACAGAACUGGUCCUGUUGUCAUAAACCUGGUACCAGAACUGGUCCUGUUGUCAUAAACCUGGUACCAGAACUGGCCCUGUUGUUAUAAACCUGGUACCAGGUCUGGUCCUGUUGACCUAAACCUGGUACCAGGUCUGGCCCUGUUGACCUAAACCUGGUACCAGGUCUGGCCCUGUUGACCUAAACCUGGUACCAGGUCUGGCCCUGUUGACCUAAACCUGGUACCAGGUCUGGC
Long non-coding RNA from Oncorhynchus tshawytscha (Chinook salmon), 679 nucleotides. The record is from Ensembl. Lineage: Eukaryota; Metazoa; Chordata; Actinopteri; Salmoniformes; Salmonidae.